GUAGGUGGCAAGCGUUGUCCGGAAUUAUCGGGCGUAAAGCGCGCGCAGGCGGUUCUUUAAGUCUGAUGUGAAAGCCCACGGGCUCAACCGUGGAGGGUCAUUGGAAACUGGAGAACUUGAGUACAGAAGAGGAAAGCGGAAUUCCACGUGUAGCGGUGAAAUGCGUAGAGAUGUGGAGGAACACCAGUGGCGAAGGCGGCUUUCUGGUCUGUAACUGACGCUGAGGCGCGAAAGCGUGGGGAGCAAACAGGAUUAGAUACCCUGGUAGUCCACGCCGUAAACGAUGAGUGCUAAGUGUUAGGGGGGUUUCCGCCCCCUUAGUGCUGCAGCUAACGCAUUAAGCACUCCGCCUGGGGAGUACGGCCACAAGGCUG
This 374-nucleotide ribosomal RNA is filed under the name uncultured organism. RNAcentral's name for it is "partial 16S ribosomal RNA". It matches the Rfam family "Bacterial small subunit ribosomal RNA", at positions 527 to 896 of the family's 1533-position model. The record is from RNAcentral.